GAUGAACGCUGGCGGCGUGCCUAAUACAUGCAAGUCGAGCGAACGGACGAGAAGCUUGCUUUUCUGAUGUUAGCGGCGGACGGGUGAGUAACACGUGGAUAACCUACCUAUAAGACUGGGAUAACCUCGGGAAACCGGAGCUAAUACCGGAUAAUAUUUUGAACCGCAUGGUUCAAAAGUGAAAGACGGUCUUGCUGUCACUUAUAGAUGGAUCCGCGCUGCAUUAGCUAGUUGGUAAGGUAACGGCUUACCAAGGCAACGAUGCAUAGCCGACCUGAGAGGGUGAUCGGCCACACUGGAACUGAGACACGGUCCAGACUCCUACGGGAGGCAGCAGUAGGGAAUCUUCCGCAAUGGGCGAAAGCCUGACGGAGCAACGCCGCGUGAGUGAUGAAGGUCUUCGGAUCGUAAAACUCUGUUAUUAGGGAAGAACAUAUGUGUAAGUAACUGUGCACAUCUUGACGGUACCUAAUCAGAAAGCCACGGCUAACUACGUG
RNAcentral lists this ribosomal RNA (497 nucleotides) under uncultured bacterium. RNAcentral describes it as "partial 16S ribosomal RNA". It matches the Rfam family "Bacterial small subunit ribosomal RNA", at positions 28 to 507 of the family's 1533-position model. The record is from RNAcentral.